AAGAGUGUAGUUUAAUGGUAAAAUUAGAAGCUUCAACCUUCCAGUUCUGGGUUCGAUUCCUAGUACUCUUG
This 71-nucleotide transfer RNA is filed under the name Magnaporthiopsis poae ATCC 64411. RNAcentral describes it as "Magnaporthe poae ATCC 64411 tRNA". It matches the Rfam family "tRNA". From Rfam's summary of the family: Transfer RNA (tRNA) molecules are approximately 80 nucleotides in length. Their secondary structure includes four short double-helical elements and three loops (D, anti-codon, and T loops). The record is from Rfam by way of RNAcentral. Lineage: Eukaryota; Fungi; Ascomycota; Sordariomycetes; Magnaporthales; Magnaporthaceae.